AACUAUUAAAAAAUUCAAUAUUUCCCACAUAACGUACUUAUUCUAAAAAUGGCUAAUUGCAUAUCUCUAUCUAAAAAGUACUAAAGUAUCAAAGUAUCAAAUUACACCUACAAUUUAUAUGGCUAAUUUAUAAGUAUUAAAAACACAUUUACUCUAAUUUUUCCCUAAUACAUAAAAUUGAAAUAAUCUCAAUUCUACCUCACAUUUACUGUCCAUUCUCCCUCACAUUCAAACUAUCCAUCACAUUGUAGCUCAAAAACAUGUAUAAAUACAAAUCCUCUACAUGCUUAACAAUAUACAAACUAAUUUUUCUCCCUCUAAAGUAUAAAACAAAGCUUAACAACAAUAAAUGAAUGGAGCAUGAAGUAGCUAACCUUCACAACACUUUGGAUGGGUGAAAUUC
Molecule: long non-coding RNA, 403 nt
Filed under: Setaria viridis
Lineage: Eukaryota; Viridiplantae; Streptophyta; Magnoliopsida; Poales; Poaceae
Description: long non-coding RNA (SVIR_LNC007283)
Source: RNAcentral